RNAcentral lists this transfer RNA (71 nucleotides) under Ictidomys tridecemlineatus (thirteen-lined ground squirrel). Its description in RNAcentral is "Spermophilus tridecemlineatus (thirteen-lined ground squirrel) tRNA". It matches the Rfam family "tRNA". Rfam says of the family: Transfer RNA (tRNA) molecules are approximately 80 nucleotides in length. Their secondary structure includes four short double-helical elements and three loops (D, anti-codon, and T loops). The record is from Rfam by way of RNAcentral. Lineage: Eukaryota; Metazoa; Chordata; Mammalia; Rodentia; Sciuridae.
GGCAUUGUGGCUCAGGGUAGAGCACUUGCCUAGCAUGCACAAGGCACAGGGUGCAAUUCCCUGCACCACCA